This 106-nucleotide ribosomal RNA is filed under the name Barnesiella sp. WM24. Its description in RNAcentral is "partial 16S ribosomal RNA". It matches the Rfam family "Bacterial small subunit ribosomal RNA", at positions 1 to 100 of the family's 1533-position model. The record is from RNAcentral. Lineage: Bacteria; Pseudomonadati; Bacteroidota; Bacteroidia; Bacteroidales; Barnesiellaceae.
AAACAACGGAGAGUUUGAUCCUGGCUCAGGAUGAACGCUAGCGACAGGCCUAACACAUGCAAGUCGAGGGGCAGCGGGGAGCUGAGCUUGCUCAGCUCUGCCGGCG